Long non-coding RNA from Hippocampus zosterae (dwarf seahorse), 695 nucleotides. RefSeq lists it as uncharacterized. The record is from RefSeq and is a predicted model, not a curated record. NCBI's taxonomy places the organism in Eukaryota, Metazoa, Chordata, Actinopteri, Syngnathiformes, Syngnathidae. The transcript is spliced from 2 exons.
AAAAGAAAUAGAAGUCAACGAAUGUGUGACAUGGCGAGCACCGAUGAUUAGGGAAUGACAAUUUCGGGAACGAGCUGUCCUGUUUUUGGUCUCGAUUUUUGAAAAAUAAAUUUCCCUCAAAAAUGUGAUUCAUACUAUGAAGUGACUGAUAAUGCGAAAAAUAUGUCUUACAGUGGUGUAGAAUCUUACCUCCAGGGAGGCAUGACGCUGGAGAAGAUGAACGAGGCACACCUCUGUAAUCAUCCGCUCGGAGGUGAAACGCCGUCAUCUUUGUCUUCUUCUGUCUGACCUCGGUGACCUCAAGAGAUGAUCUGAUGCCAUGAAAGAAAACCCCAAAGGAGCAAAGUCGUACGAUGUGUGGAGAACAUAACACCUGCAUACUGGGCAGUGAUCAAACACAGAACGUUUGCCUCAAGCAAGUCACUGAUACUCAACGUUGUGCAGAUCGGCGGCUCUAUUGAGAGGGUGGUGUCAAAUUUAGCAGCUCACCUUUUGGAUUUUAACCAUAAAAUAACAUUUGCCAUUUUUGCGUAAAAUGACUAAAUGGAUUUAUUGUCGCUUUAAUGAGCACCGCAAAUGGGCUGUGCAAUUUAGAAUUAUAACACAACAGUACAGAGAACCAAUUUUUGUGGUGUGACGUUUGUGAAUUCACCUUUUCACCCAUUUUUUAAUUUUAUUAAAACAUUUUUAGGAAA